This 17186-nucleotide long non-coding RNA is filed under the name Gallus gallus (chicken). Lineage: Eukaryota; Metazoa; Chordata; Aves; Galliformes; Phasianidae. The record is from RNAcentral.
AACAAACUGCAGCAACACAUGGAUUUGCUGUGGUGUGUACCUGCAGUGUUCAUCUGCUCCUUUUUUUGUGAUGCAAAAGAAAAUUCAAAGUUCUUCAGAAGCAAAUGCUCAGCAGGUGCAGGCUUUCUGAACAGAACCUCUGCAAAAGAAUGAGCUUUCCUUUGAAGCCUUCUUGUACAGCCACCUACUUUAGACGUUCCAUUCAACUAAUACACUUAAGUGCAUUUCUCCCCUUACUUUCACUGAGGACCCCUUGUUCCUGUUCUCCUUUCUUCCUGCACUCUUCUUUGCACAGCAUCUUGUCAAUAUCAAAUUGUUUAAUGCAACUUGAAAUAAAGAAGUGCACAUACAGGGACUAUUCAAAUGCUGCUUAUAUUCCCCCCUGGUUAGAAAUUGCUACUGGACUUUCAGAAACUGAUGUGCUUUGAAUUACGCAUAGCCUUCCCAAAGAAUUGAAGCCCAACUGGAGAGCAGGAUGCAGAAGCUGAUUGGCUGUGCUAGUGGUGCAGUAAGAAGCUCUACCUUUACGCCGUGUAUGCUGAACACAUCUGCAAUAAGGAAAGUACAGGUCAACUAAGCAAGGAGAGUAAAGCCUUAACACUCUGCUUUGUUUGCUAACAACAGAGUACAAUAAAGUCUUCCCCAAAUAUAUAAAGAUGUGAAUCCAGUGCUCAAACUACUGUGGGGGUGGAACCAUGCUUCAAUUUGUUGGUUAUUUUUUUCCCUGAAGUACAACAAAGGGAUGAUAUUGGUUUGUAGCAGGCAGUACCUCACAGGCACUGGUGCAGCGGUGCUUCCAAGUUGCAUGUCUUCCCCAGCUUUCUUCCCUUCCCCAAACACCACGCAAAAGAUUACAGCAUUAUUCCUUCCUCCUUUUCUGUCUCCCCAUAAGGAGGAGGGGGAACUCUGUGGAAGCUGCACUGUUCUUCACUCCUAUCUCCACAAAAAAGUGGAAAGACCAACUCUCAGCAAUCCAAGUUUAAAUAUGGAUUCCCAGCUUCUCUUACACCUUUGAAAUGAAACAUUUUGAAGCGUUAACCUGCAUUAAGUGUCUGCUGUACAUCUGAAUGGGGGGAAAUAAAAGGAGAAAUUUAGCUCAAUCCUCCUGCAAAUGGAUGCUUUGUGAUACGUACUACUGUGUCAAUCUCUGCUGGAUCCACCAUCCGAGAUACCUCAUCAAACUCUUCAGGAGACAUAGGCAGCAGAUUUUCUGGAGAUUGGAGCCUGGAUGGGUGGCUAAUAGGAGAAGAGAGAGAAACGUUCACUAAAAAAGUGAGGCACAGCUGGGCUACCAUGUCUGCCUUUGAGUCCAGAAUUUCCAUUAACUGUAGGGCAGCAGUUAGGUCAGGGCUUGAAGGGGUAAUGGAGCACCUGGUGAAGGGCUGUGCGUGGCCCAGGGAGCACAAAUUGUAUGAACCUGUGCUCCGCAGCUGACCAGAAGAGGCAGACUGAGAGUGGAGCCACUCAGGGUCAUAUAAAGGCCAGCCACUGAAGGGAGAACACCUCUUAGAGCUGGGCUGCUUUGUUGGGGGGAGUGCUGUAUUGUUAGUCCCUUCACCAGCUGGGGGAGUCUGACUCUUCUUUCUGUAUAUGACUAUUGGCCUAGCUGUGAAUGUUUUGCCUUGGAUUUUUUUUUGUUUGUUUGUUUUGUUUUAAUGGUUUUUUACUUAAAGAUUUUAAUUGCUUCAGCAAUUAAAAGUACACAAAGGUGAGAUGAUCACAUUCUUAAAGAGAGGAAAAGAUUUGUUGGUGGCACCUACAAAUUGAAUGUUAUGAACACUGAUGAACUACAGCUGAAAAUAUCAUGCAUAGUUCGUAGAAAUCCAGCAUUUAUGUGAGAACUUACACUUCAGAUACAGAGAUUAAUUCAGUCCUAAUGUAGCCGUUUCCCUUGGGAGUAUCUGUAUCCAUAGGCUCUGGGGCUUCAAGGAAAGACAAAAAAAUAAAUGCCUUGUUUUUUUUUAUUAGCAAGUUUACCUCAUGCUGCUAUGUUUGUUAUUCCAAAUACAGCUUGUGGCCAAAACAAUACAUAGGUCUCUCUUGUGCAUUUUAUGGCAUUGUGGUUAAUUCAUUUCAUUUCUUGGCCAGUUUUUGCUUUUCCACUACUGAAACAGGGGAACAGUCUCCCCUAAAGUUUCAUAUAGUUGUAUCAAUAUAUCCCAUCUGGCCCCAGUAUCAGUGUAGUGUAAUAGUAAAUAUGACCCUUACGGAUCUAGCUGUUAGUAAGAACCUACUCUUCUGAAAUAUAUCACAGGCAAACAUAAAACUGCAUUAGAGGCUACAGACAAUCAUGCUCUCAGUUUCUGAGCUGAUUAGUGUUGUUCCUCUCUAACAACCUUUUCUUAACCUACUGAAGUACAGGUGCUGGUUCUCAGCUUCUAGCUAAGCAGCACUCCAGUAUGGGUCAGGCUGCCAAGAUCUUCAGUCCCACUGCUGCCUCUUCUUUCUAUGCCAUGGAAAUGAUUCAGUGCCCGAGUAUCUCAAGAACGAACACUCAACACGAGCCACUUAUAGCACUUACCCUCCUUAGGCCUGGAGUAGUAUUUGCCAAAGGCGUUGUCUUUGGGAAUAUCUGGGUACAGAAAUCUCAGUGGAUUUUCAGGAAUGUUUUCAGCUGCCAUCACUUUGUAGUUGCGAAUGAUAUCAGGGAAAGUAACAGCAGAGAGCUCCUUCUUGGUGUAUGGUUCUACUGAGUGGAACUGGGGCUCUACAGAUGAGAGAAUAAAUUGCUCUUAGAGUUAGUGCUACCUGGGCAACCUUCUGUCAGCUGAUGACACUUAAAUUUCAUUUCUUAUUAGGAAGUUUGAUUUUUAGAAUGCCACUGAGAAGCUCUUAUGAAAAACAAGAGACAUAUGAAGCCUUCGUGAAAGCUCCAAAUCCUGCCAUCUAUCCUUCCUCAGUUUUGGACUUGGGUAUGAGGACAGCAAAGGGAAAGAAUGAAGAGGUGAUUCAAGCACAUUCAGUGCUUUCCUUCUUCCAGCAGUAAGCAGCCUUGGGCUCAUCCAAGUGAAAUGUCAAUAUCCAGGCAGGUAGAGUUGAUUUAAGCACUAUGAUGGGUCAGAGGCCUGGUAGGACUAUGGGGGUUGGAUCUUUCUGCAGCUUUAGGGUGUGCAGGCUCCCCUGAAUGAGGGUGAGAGGAAAGUAGCACAGCUAACUAAGGUAUCAAGUAGUUCAUCUGUCCACUCCCAUAUACUACAGGAAGGACAACUGUGAAGAAAAUGAGGUAAUGCAGUUUGCUUGGGAAGAACACGAGAAUAAAUGGGAUGGAGAAUGAGUUUAAGAAAGGCAUACUGCAUGCAAGAUGAAGGCAGAGAACAAUAGUACAGAGGAUCAAAUGCACCUGUAGUGAACAGUUCCUGGAAGAGGAAUCUCUAAAUGAGGUGCUAUGGGGCUAGAUGGAAGGAGACACCGAUGAUUUUUGUGUGUGUACACAUACAUGCUGAAGAUCUCUUGCUUAGAGGGAACCUCAUUAGGCAGGAAGACAGUGUGUUUGGUACAUGCUUAAGAAACAUUCAGGUCAGAAGCUGUAUCUGGGAAGUCUUACUAGACCUAGUUGAAAAUUAGCACUACCACCUGUAAGGCUUAUCAACUAUACCAAAUAAGGUGCGGAUCUGUUUGUGGCCUGUUGCUUGGCAGGGUGGAAUUGCUAGGGGUGUGUUGUGUUAUCUCACAGAGUGAAAGAGAAAUGCACGAAGACUUACUGCUCUGAACUAAGUGUAUACUUCUAAGACAGAGGUGUUCUCUGUUACCAACUUACCAUUUUGAGAUCCUUCUACCCAGGUAAAAGUGAUUGCUCCCUCUUUACUGCUUUCACUGAAUCUCAGUAAAAAUGUUCCUGGUCUCUGGUCCUUCAAUAAAGCACGUUCUUUGUCUUUACUGAUGAAACCCAUGAUACAGCUGUACAUGGGAGGGGGGGAAAAAAAGUUGAGUUAAACUUUCAAUACAAAAUCUAAGCUGUACUGGUCUAGCUAUGGAAACUAAAAAGCUUUUUUCCACUUAGAAGAGCUGAAGUAUAUAUGAAAGCCUCUUAGAAAGCUUUGUCCUGUUUGCAGCUGGGAAGCCAGCAGUGGGACUGACAGGCUGGAGCUGCACUGUAGGAGCCAUGAAUCAGCACUGCUCCCCUCAUCACUCUUCAUUUUGCCUGGUGGCUUAUUUAAACAUUUACCUAAGCUUGGAAUAAAAUAAGCUGUCUCUUGCUAUCAAAAUUAGACUGUGGAAGCAGAAGUCAAGUUGUGUGUGCUGCAUGGUCAGAUCCUAAACAGCAGUUAGCUUCAAAAGCACAUAAACAACAAUCUUCUGCCUUCCCAUCCCUGAGCAGGAAGAAAGGCAAGCGUUCUCCUGAUACUUAGUUGUUUAUUAAAUGAGUCCCUGAAGUUGUGUUCUGUUCUUGUUAGCAGCUCAUUUAGUGUUUGGAAGUGAAACAAGGCCAUUAUAUAAGAGGCUUGACCAAACUUAUCUGGAACUGGACAGUUAAAACAGCUCUUGAAUGCUGCAAGAGCAAUUUCGCUGUAUGUCCUGCAGACCUGUGGGAUCCCCUAUGGUGAGUGAGCUGUUAAUAGGAUUUCUAAACAUGGAUAAAUACAAAGACUACUAAAAAUGCACAGUUGUGAACGUGACUGAACCUGUUCUUGGCAGAAGUUACUUCUGAAAUAGGUAAUAACAGAAAGCAAGGCUUUAUAAUGCAGUAUAAAAGGGCAAACAGAACCGAUACUCAAUUUCACAGUCUUACUACUCAUUAUUCUAUAAUUAUAGACUAGCUCAACUCACAUGGUAGAUAAAAUUUGGUGUUUGGCAGCUGCCACCUACCGGAGGCUCACUAGCAUUGUUCAUGGGAAUCGUUGUGGUUUUUUUUUUUUUUUUUUUUUUAACAUGGGUGAUAACUUGAUGAAUUAUACGUUGUUAUAUUUUGCUCUUCCCAGACAAACACAGAGGAGGCUCUGUUGUGUAGGAAGAAUCUACUUAUAGCAGAAGCAGAGGUCAAAAAAUGGAAUGAUCAGAGCCCUCCUCUGCAACUUGGUCAUGUGAUGUUUUUGCUUUAAGUAGCUGUCUCAGUGAAAUCUUCCACACUGCUAGAAUUUGUUUGCCUCAGGAUUUUUUCCUUCCAAGAUCCACUUGAUUCAAUUCAAAGUAUCAGCACAAACAACCUCACAAUGCAACCAUGAAGUGAGAGGUUUGAGGCUUGAUUAUUUGUUAAUUUAACUCGGGUCUUACCCAUCGUUCCAGAGGCAUAGGAGAUGUUUCUUAAUAAGUUCCAGGAUUCCCUCUAUCCACAGCCAAAAAGGGAAAUUUUUAUCAUUUAUGUUUUCCUGAAAUUCAGAGAUGGGGAAGCAUGAGUGUUAACUGGAGAGGAAGCAAGCUCUUUGGACCAAUGCCAUCAUCUUCCUGUUCUUGCAUGUUUCUUCCCUUUCUUCUUCACCCCACCUCUACUUCAAAGGGACACAAGAUAUUGGAAAUGAAUCAUGUACUGAAUCUUAAGACAAGAGGCAGGGAGAAAGAAAAGGCUGCCUGAACCUACAGUACUCACAGGUGUCACUGCUUAACUCUUAUACAACUGUGCUCAUUUAAGAAUACGGAAAAGGCUCUGGUUCUUGGAUGGGCAGGAAUAGGAAACAAAACAAACACUCAGAAAAACCCUCUUAAUUUCUUUUCUUCAGUGAGUUCAUACCUUACAGAAUCUUGUCCAAGGAAUAAGGCCAUCAUGAGAUCCUCCACUUGUUGGCCCUGAACAGAAUAUAUCAACUUCAGUCAAAAUCCAUACAUUACUGAAAGGAAAUACAGCAGCAAAUCCUGAGUGCUAACUUUACCACUUCAAGGUAGUGGACUAAGAAGGAAAAUAAAAGGAAGGCUACUGUAUUUUAUAGGCUAGCACAGAGAGCACUUGUAAAGUUCCCAUCUGAAAUUCACUCAAUGGGAAUGUAUUUAAGCAGGCCACAGAUUGCAAUACAAGCUUUGCCUAAUGGGAACCAAUUAAUUCUGACACCUUGUACGCUGUGCUAUGCUUGACAUUUAUCAGUUAAUCUUUUUACAGGAGCAUCUUGGAAAAAAAAAAGAAAACAUCUCUCUUCUACAGCAGAGCAAGUAAAUAGCAAGCCAUAAGCUUUUUUUGUAGGAGCUCAGCAGACUCUACAACAUCUUUAAGAAUUUUCCUAAAAUGAUAGAAUGGUUUGGGUUGGAAGGGCCCUUGAACAUAAUCUAGUUCCAACCCCCUGCUGUAGGCAGGGACACCUCCUUCUAGAUCAGGUUGCUCACUUGUAAACUUGUAGGCUUUAGUCUCAGAAACUGACUCCUAGAUCUGUCCCAACUACACUCUUCUCGUUCCUGCUGCAAUCAUUUCCCCUCCUUGUUUUGAUAGUGUGUUUCAUAAUUGCAUCAAAACUGCAAAGAAACCCCUGUGCUGUGACCACAGUACCUAGAGCUUUGCAGACUAUGAAUACAUCUGGGACCUGAUUCUUUCCGUUACAGACUAUACUAUGAAUCUAGAAUUUUUUUUUUUUUUUUAUAAAUAACUACUUUUUAGGUGCAGAAAUGAGAUUUAAAUACCAUCCUACUGAAUCCUUUCUGAAACUUAAAUAUUAGGGAAUAUACCAAAUCAACAGUACUUUUAUUCUGAGUUUCCUAUGCAAACGCAGUAGCUGUGACAGAUGCUAUCAGGCAAACUGACAUGUAGUUCAGAAAACAAAACCCAUGGCUGAUCAGACUCUUACUAAGGAUGCUGCUCUUGGAGAAUCUUAAUUUGAUAUAUUUCAGUAGUUCCAUAAUGUAUGUGCUUAAAUAUUGCAACCAUAUAUGGGCAGACAGAGUCAGCAUUCCUUGCUGGGGGCAUAUGUUGAGUUAAAGCUACUGGAGAUAAAAGUAAUAAUAAUAAAAAAAGGCAUGUUCUGUAGUUUUUCAAAAGGCACAAGUAGCCCUAAUUAGUGCUGCCCUGGCGUACAGAACUCCAAGGCUAGGACUACAGAUUUCUCAUCAUCUGAACUUCUUUUGCAAACUCUUAUUGUAUUGAAACUGCAAAACACUGCAUUGCUACAGUGUGAUAUUGUGUAAUGGGAAAAGGAGUGAUAAGAUGCAGAAACUUAAAAUAAAUUGUAGAAAACACGUAGAACUUGCUUCAGUUCAAACAGGCUACCUGCUUGUUCAGAUGAACCAAAAAGCCUAGUUAUAGAAGCAGACCAUACCAAGUAGUUUCUCUCCCAGCAUGUUCAGCUGAUCCGCGUUAAGUCCUCUUUUUGUCACAGAAGAAAACUGCCAGCUCAGAACUUCAGAAAGUUUAGACCACUUCGCACAAGGUGGGUUUAGAAAGAAGGACAAAUUCUAGAACAGAAUGGGAAAAUACAAUGUACAGUUAGUAAGCGUAAAUUCAAGCUGUACUCCAGCUUGAAUGCUUGAAAACUGCAUUUCUGAUACAAUUUCAGGAACUGUGCAGACUGCUCUACGUGCAGGAAGAGAAGUGUUUUUGUUUUGCUUGUACCUUGGGAUCAGUAGACAGCAUGUUGAACCAUAAGAUAGAAGCCCAUCCGCUUGGAAGCUGGCUCACAUUAGAGAUGACAAUGAUGGGAAGUGAUGUGGUCUGAAAGGGACACAUAAGCAUGUCAGAGCAUUCUGUAUCCCUGCUGCAGUCCUUCAUUAAAUAACUCACAAACCUGUUGCCAUUCUAACUCCCUGCUUGUAUUGCCUUAUCUCUUUCAUUGAAAACAUACAUGCAAGUGGGAGAUUUUCAGUAUGACAUACUAGAAAGAGUUAGGUGAUUUUGUCAAAUAGAGGUGUGACAUAGAGUAAGUUAAUUCCAUUUCCUUCAUUUAAGCCUUACCUCUAGCUCUAUUACUAAGCCAGGCUGGCACAGCUGUGUCUCGAAACUCAGAGAGUGAAGUUCUUCUGUUACAAUAAGAGGACCCUUUGAUGAUGAAGGAAAAAAAAAAAAAAAAAAAAACGUUAGGAUUUUCUAUAGGGGAAAUUCCUCUUUCCCAAGGUUACUGGCUCUGGGAUGCUCCUUGUCUGGACUUCAGAAAGGGUUUACAGGCCUGUCAAGUGAUAAUGCUGAUUUCCUUGAACUUUGUGUUAGGAUGGGUAUUUGCUCAGCAUCUCUGUUUUGGCUGCUACCUAGAAGACAGAAAAGUCUGCAAUUACUGGGAAGCCCUGUUUAAGUUAGUGAAGGAGAGUCCAGAGGGACACCAUUCUGGCAGUAGCUCUCAUAUGCAAGUAUCUCCCACACAGAUCAUUUUCCAGAAGUACUCAACUCUACUGGUCGUGAAUCUCCUCUGUUUUUUUGUGGGGCUGAAUGGAGCACUGUCUUAAAUAUUUGAAUGUCUUUUUGGCUUUGUGAACGAGGUUACUGUUGCAUACCUCAUUUGUUCUGUUCCCUGCAUUUUUCUGUUCUUUCAGUUGCUGCAAAAAAAAAAACCAAACAAAAAAAUCUGUCACUCAUUUAUUUUAGCCAGUAGUAUAUGCAAAUGUUUACGUGCUGUAGUUCCUUAACUGCAUGUAAACUUGCUGCACUAGUGUCUGCUCCCACUUGGUACCAGUCUUUUAUUAAGUAUUCAUCUGUGAAAAUAUAAUCUGCACCAUUAGGAUGCAAUGUCUUUAUAUGAAGACUUUAUAGGAACAAAAGCAGAAUGAAAUCAGGAAGGAUCAGAUGAAAUACUGGUUUAUUAAACUAAACCUCAGAAUUGGUUGUACCAGUUCUGGAAACUGGUAGUGUUCCUUCUGGAUAACAAAGAGACUUCUACAUUAACUGGUUCAGGACUUGUAUUUUUUUCCUUUGCUGUUGCAAUGACAGAACCAACCUAAUUCCCUUGUCACGCACUCUACAUCCAGUGUUGUAUAGUCUAAAGACACUGAAUUUCUUGUUGAAAUGGUUGUGAAUUUCUUAGACUGUUUUCUUCUUCCAGUCUCAAAGGAUCUUUAAACUAUUCCAUGUUCUUCCUUCUCUGGGUCCUCUUCAGAAAAAGCAAAAAUGGUAUGUCUAGGCUUCUACUCUUUCUCCAACCAACUCCUUACAGGAUAAACCAUAUAGCAGCAAAGAACUUUUUUGCCUUUCUGGCCCUAUUUCAAUGACAAAAGCAGUAGCACUUCAAUUGAAACAGGCCAAAGAUCUCGAAAAGGGAAGAUAAUGUUAAUUAACGGUUCCUCUUUCACAAGGAACCUAUUUCCUACCACACCCUCUGCCCACACAAAUGUGUCAAUAAAAGAAAAAGUCUCCUACCAAGUGCCUGAAUUCUGCUGCUAAACUUCCAUUAGUAGAUUCUUCCAUGUUCAUUACUUUUGUAUUUGUUCCCAGAAUAUUAAAUUUCCUGAAUCUACACAAAGAGAGAAAACAAUUAGGGGCCUGAAAUCAUUGUAAGAAUCCAACUUCAAUAUGUCAAACUGAGAGGCUACUUACCCUUUGACUGAGUUCUUCUCAUUUACAUCUCUGUCAAAAAAGAAAAAUUAAAAAUCUUCUAAAGAUUCUGCAUACGGAAAAUCUGCUUGUUCUAAUAGUUGACUGAGAACUGGUAAAAUGCCUGUGUGAAAUCUCUUGUGUAAGAGAAGCAAUUGGUUUGAGCAGUCAAAACAAACAUUGCCUUAUACAAGGAAAGGAAUGCAACAUACUUAUCAAAUAGAACUUUCACUUUCAGGUUGUAGUUCAAUUCCUGCAAUUUCACCAGUAAUCUGGGAGGAAGAACAAAAAAACAAAAUGACUACCACUGCAAAAGAUAGCAGCACUAAAGAGGAAAAACUUACCACAGAUAUAUUUAAUCUGCAGAGCUCAAAAUCAUGUAUUGGCCCCAAGCUUGCUCUGUAUAAGCUAAUGAAGAUUAAGUGACAGGAUAGAUUAGCAGUGUCUGUACAACUGACCCCAGCUCCUGAUGUAGGGAUAAAAAUAGAUUGGCAAAUGAGUUAUUUACAUGAUUGAAUGGUCUGCCUGUAUCUGACCUACUACUGUCUGGUUGUGUUUCUCAGACACUCAAUCAUCACCACACCUGGUCAAGGGUACAGACUGGAAGUUAAAUGUGUUAGAAGACAUACUGCUGCCACAUCACAUUUCCCUUGCCGCCCUGAGCUCAGCUCAGCACUUGGGCUACCUGUAAGGUGUGCAAUCCUCCCAGCCAUAGGAAGCCAAUCAAAUGAAAGGCUUAACACCAAAGAAGGAGAAACAGAAAACAUACCUCAGCUUCACAGUAAACUGUACCCCUGUCUUCAGGACUAAUGGCCUCUGUGGAUGUGUUGGCAUGCAAGGCUGCCUCUCUACCACAAAGGAGCUAUGGAAAGAACAGAUUAAUGCUUUGACUUAUUAAUAUAUUCUCUAAGGAAUAUGAAGUUACAUACAGAAAGAAUGGGGAUUUACCAGUAAUACUGCAUGCUUUAUCUAUUAAUUCAGUUUUUGUCUCAACAGAGGUCUGAGCAUGGGUUUCUUUGCUUGCUUCAAUGGGGCUAGGGAUGUUUAAAGACUUCAUAAGAUAGCUGUUUUCCUAAAUACAUGAACUGUUUGGGGAGGACGGAGUGCCAUCUCGAAAUUCCCUGAAAUCAAACAGCAUGUAAAUACUGAGGUAACUUGUAUAAUUCAAGUGAGGAGUUUUGCUUCACUUGCACUGCUCAGUUUGUGUUACAGUACUGUAACACACACCCAACAGCUAGAUAAAUGAGACUGGGGAUUCAGGAAGGGCUAGUUAACCCUACAGAGCAAACUCCUGAGGCUAACCUGUUCUAAUGCACCCCAAACUGUUCCCAUCUCAGGUGCCAUUUGUGCAGCACUGUGCUAUAUGGACAGGUAUACUGUAUUAGCAAGUCUUGGGCACCUUAGCAAGUUGAGACGUUUCCCUCCACUUAAUUGCACAUCAGAAAUCUGGAUUAACACAGCCCUUCCUUGUUGACCUUCAAUUGACUGAAGAAUAAUACCUAUUUUCUCUAACUGCAGACUAGUGGUUAAGGCAUAUGAACGGGUUUUUGGACAUCUGAGUUCCAGUCCCCGUACAGGGGGUUACAUACUGCAUCUAAGCCUCUGCUCUGUAUCUGCUAGUCUCCAGUCUUCAGCAACACGAACUGUUGCCUACUGUAUAUUUAAAGAAUGAGACUGUGAAGCUAUGUGAGCAUGUACUAGCUACAGUAACUUGCAUUAUAGAGGUGGGACACACCUAGGGCUGCUCUCCCUGUGCUGGAGACAAGGAAGAUGUAGCCAGAGCCAGAAGGAGGGAGAAUCUAGUGUGUAUUUAUCUUGGGCAUAGCUUGGUGUAGAUGGUUUCCUGCAUCCAUUUACUUGAGCUGGUUUGCAGGGUUGAAGUUGAAAGCAAAAAAUGAAUUGAUGGACUAGGAGUUUGAUUCUGUAAUUGAUACACGUUGUAGCAAAGCCCCUGCUGACUUAAAUGAUGGUAGGCCACAAAUCCUUUCCACAAGCCUAAACCUCUGGAGAAACAAAAAAGGAGGGAAUCUUGAAAAUAGUUGUUUAAUGUUUGUGACAAACUCAGGAAAACCUCAGAAAAUGCAAGUUAGUGUGCAUGAAACACUUGAGCAAACAGAAGGGAAGACUCCAGAUCCACUCAUUCACACAAUCCCAAGGCUUUUCUAGUCUGUUACCUCUGGAUAAGCUGUUUGAAAAGACUGUGCGUUCGGUCCUGCAAAACUUGUUUGUUUUUUGUGAUAGGGUCAGGGUCAUAAGUAAGUUUCUGCUCCAGUUCCUCAAGCUUUUUGAGCUGCUGACGAACUUGCUGCAGGCUUUCAGCAAUGAUGGUGAACCUACAAUUACACAGUCCUGUUAUUUUUAGCACGUUUUCAUUGUAAUAAUGCUGAGACAGCAGCAAGGUAACCAUCCCUAAGGUUUGCAUGGGUAGCAUUGCUUGCUUAUUGGAGAUACAAUAGUAAAAUCAAUGCUCUUUAGUUAAGCUGUGACAGAAUGAAAAUAUAUAAUCAGCACAUGUGGCAUAUCUGACAGGUCUGGUAAUCUGUCAUACUUUGAGUGCCCAGCUAACACAAUCCUUGACUGGAGGCUUACCAGUUCUGUAGCUGGUCAAGACAGGCAUUGGGUGGGCCACCAAUGCAUGCAGUCUGUUGCCUACGUUUCCACUCCACCAGCUCCUCGUUAAUAAGAGCACUCUGUGUGUGCUCUGUGGUGUUCAAGAGCUGUAUUAUCUUGGCCACCACUUCCUAAAGGAAAUAUUGAAGUAAUCUGUUUAUUACGAACACUUUAUACAGAAAAAAUAACUAUUGAUUUAGCUAAUACUGUGCCUUGCAAAACUUUCCAAUGACUUCAAAGAAAUACUUUCUUUUAUCAACAGAGGAGUUCUUCUGACCCACCUACCUCUUAGUUGGAGCAUUAGCUAGGUUAAGUGGAGAAACAACAUAUAUUUACUAUCACUGACUUCUUUAGAAGUGAAGUCCAUCUACAUACCUCCCAAGUGUAUUCUUGGGACCCCCUAGUGUUUGCUGGAAAUUCGAGCACUGCAAUGAGUAAGCCUGCAGCUAUAUUUUAGUUAAGCAAACUCUUUGAUUGCUUUUUCCCCCCUUAAAAACCUGAUUAUCAAUACUACAUUUUCCUCUUGUUGUUCUCUGAGAUGUACCUGAUCAAGUUUCAUAAAGGCAGCUAGAAGAGAAAUAUUACUGCUCAGCAAUAUUCUAGAUUUCCAUUAAGGAUGGGAAGAACAAAAUGUUCCUUCAAAUGUGAGCAGAGUUUUUUGUUUAUUUUUUAAAUAGGAAUGACAUGUCAUUCCAGUGAAAGUGCUGAAAACCAAGUGCUGCUGCCUUCUGAAAGAAAACUAAGGUGUUACCUUUCUCUUGAUGUCAAGUAAGAAAAACAUCUUUUGGAGAUUCAUCUGCUCUUUCUUACAUUCCUCUUGUGAUGCACCAUUGGGCUCAUACUCUGUAAAAUAAGUCUAAAUUGUGAAUCUGAGAUUGGAAAACUGCAGCAGGACAUGGUCUUGUGAGUACAGAAAAGAAGGGGUGAGGAAAACCCAGGCUGAUAGCUCCCAUGCAGUGCCCCCAGCUACCAUUUCAACUGCCCACUGACCUUAAGUUAGAAGCACCCAUGUGCCUUAUGGAAAUGGUGCCUGCCAUGAAGUACAAAGAUGGGCUUGAUGCUCCAUUUUCCAACCACAACCCUCCUCUGAGGGCUCAUCAACUGUAAAUUUGUGUUGGAAAAUAAAGCUUUUUUUGAAACAAAAUAGUGGGGGGAAAAAAACAGCCAUAUAUACAAAAUGAACCCAGUGUAGUCAGAGUCUAUACGGUUUGCUACGUCUAGAAGUGAGUGUAGAGGACAAAAGAACACUGCAUUAGCAAAAAAAAAAACUCUUGUAAGAACAGACAAAGAAAAUCUAUUUUGGGGGAUUCAGGUUUCAGUAUAAAGCAGAACUAAUGGAGGAGGGUAAGUUUGCAUAUAAAACUUAGUUUCCUGACAUAAGAAUAAACUCUAUCUUAUGAACUGCACACAAUAAGGUAUGUCCUCAGUAAAUUACCUCUAUUCUGGAAGGUUUUAUGUUUAAAGUCAUAUUCGUCUUGCACAUCCUCUAAUGUCUUGAUGUCUUGUUCUACAUCCUAUAAAGCAUGAAUGAAGAUGGAACAAUUACUCAAUUUCACAUUAUGCAAGACUAUGUCUGACCAGGAUCUGCCUGCCAACAAACACACUCACGAAUGUCUUUUCCUGGAAUUCCCUAGCAGGAAAUAUUUCUAAAGUUAACCACUAUCUAGUUACCUUCCCUCUCUCAUUUAAGCAAAUAAAAAUCUGUCCAUGAUAAAACUCAGAAAGCCCUCAGUGCCUGGCCAUACCAGCUGAGAGAACUUAGAAGAACCUAGGCUACCAUCUGGGACAGCAUACGGCAUCUUCAACUCUUCACAAACUCUUGAGUAUUGCACUGAAAAUAGCUUACUCUUAGGAUGGUAUUUAUUAAGGCAAUAAGCACCGAUAUGUUAACAGGAGAAAAAAAAAAACUCUAUAGAUAACAAGGAAAUGUCAGACGAUAAUCUUCUAAAGAAUUUUUCCUUGGUUGCAUAGUAUUCCAUAUAGAUAUAAUGUUUUUAUUACUAUAAUUUAAGCACGAGAAAUUUGAUAUUGCCACAAUAGCCAAAUCUCAAUCUGUAUAGCAGUGCUAUUGACAAGUACUGACUUACUAUGUACCAGUGACUGAUAAUAGAGUAGAAAACCAAACAAUAGCCUAAUUUAUACUUGUUAUUUAAAGAAUACUUCAUAUAUGGAAAACUCUUUGACAUUUAUGAUUCAAUAAGCACUACUACAAAUAGAGCUGGAAUCAUACUAUACUCACUGUAACACUGUUUUUUACAGCCUUAACUUUUGCAUCAAGCUCCUUCUGUUUAUCCAGCAUCCCAGUCAUGGUGUUCUGUACACCUCCCACUUCCAUCUGAGGAAGGCAAGCAGAACAAAAUCAGAAGUCAAACAAGACUCAACUAACAGUAAAUACUUCUUAAUUAAUGUCAGUUGGUGGCUUUUGUUGACAAACAGCCUUGUUGAGGUUUUACUUGUUCUGAUAAAUCAUAGCACUCUUUUGUAAAAGUGACUUUGUGAAGAAAAAGCAAGGGUGAAGAAACAUCUUUCACAUGGAGAUGCUGCAUGUUAUGUCAUAGUAAUAAAAAGCUAUAAAAAAAACUUCUCUGCACAAAUCCUUUUUGUUUUAUUUGCUUAUCUUCAUGCAUUUUCUAAAUAUAUUCCAGGAAAACAGCAACACUGAAGGCUGGAUCACAUCUCCUUUAACUGUCUGAGUCAUCCAGUCAGGCUCUGGGGAGGAAAGUGUGAGGCACAAGAACAAGAUAGGCUGGCAUACAGGGUAAUGCAGUAUGCAGUUUCCUACAGGGCAUUAAGGCAAACUUCAGAUCUCAGUACUGGAAGGAUUCAUUUCAGAAGCUCAUAGCAUGACUUCUCUCAGGGAGAGUUGCAGUAAUUUCAAAGACAGGAUUUUUGUUCCCCGUUUAACUACUGUAAGAAUUAGAAAUACACUGUUUUGCCAUUGCAGGCAACUUACAAGCAGGCAAAGGUUCCCAGCGUAAGUUUAAGUGGGACCAUGAUGGCAAUCUGAGUAUUGUCUAACACAGGAGUCUCUCUUUUGUUUUUAUGGUGCUUAUAAGUUUGCUUGCUUUAUGGAAAUAAUUUACAAGAAAUCAGAGGGUAGGGCAUGGCGUAUCAUGUAGCGCCAACAAUAUGUGGAAGAAGAUUUAUUUCCUUUUUUUAAAUUAUUAUUAAUAGAAACAUCUGGAAUGCUGAAAAGGAAGUUUUGGGUGCUUCAUGUCAUAAGCCAGUACAGAAACUGCCAGCUGCACUUCAGCUAUGAGGAAAGUAUCUGGGAAUGGCUUUGCCAGAGUUACAUAUUUAAAAGAGCUAUUUUGGACACAGCUGCAUUAGGAGGAUAGUUGAAAGCCUAAGCUCCAGUGCUCUUAGUUCUCUCUAUAACACUAUCAAAAAUUUGCUGUAAAGGGAAGAAUUUCUGUCUCAGAAUGUAAUGUGCUCAGUCAGUUACAGUUACAUUAGUAGAUUGGAUUGAGCUAUGUAGUUUACAUAGCUUUCCUAACUGCGGAUUUCUUUAUUGCAACACAGUUCUUGGAAAGGAAAACCCAAACAGAUGCACUGCCAAAGAAUUGAUGAGGAGAAGAACAUCCUUUGCCUAUGGUUCAGUGGUUCAGUUUAAAAUACAUACAUAAAUAUUGAGCGUAGCUGGGAAGGAAGAAUAGCACCACUUUGUGAGUCAGUCCAGAGACCCAUUACAGCUCAACUCGUCAAUAAAGAGUAAAUCAGGAGUAAAAUGGAAAAGGAAGGAAGCUGAAAUCUUGUUGGAGAAGUAAAGCAAACACUAUUUAUUAAAAUGUAAUGAGAUCUGAUGAGCACGUUAGGCCAUACUAAGAAUUAAAACCAGUUGUUCACAUUACUCAAAAAAAAAAUCAAGAUUACUUUCUGGCCCUUUCCCCUUCUGAAUAGCUCAUGCUACUCAAACCAGCUGGUAUCCCAAGUAAUAGGAAAGGUAGACACAAACGCAGAGGACAUUUCAAGACUAACUUACCUGAUUAGACAAUUGUGCACUGUUCAAAAUUUUUCUCUCCUCUUUCAGACAGUUGUGAAUUAUCAUUGCCAUGUGUAUCGGGUCUUCUUGGAAGUUAUCCUGAAGAUUACGUUUGCUUUUCCUUAUGUUGUGUUGCAGCAAAAAGUUGUUUUCUAUCAAAAAUCGGCUAAAUUGAUCAUCAAGCUGUGACAGCAGGUCAUGGAAUAGCACUGUAGCAAAAGAUACGUUGUUGGCUGCGUGUUCCCAAUCCUGGUUUUCCAGCCACUGUGCCAAGUACUGCCUGAUUUCCAUAGGAAAGCUGUCAUCGUACAGCUGGUGAACUUGCUCCAAAAACUUGGAGUCAAGUUGCUGUAGCUGGUACCACUGAGUCAUCCUGGGAAGUGGGGAAUAAAAGCAGCAUUAAUGUAAAUGCUGAGGUUAAUAUUGGAGCUGAGCUGGUGAAAAGGCACUCAUUCCAAGUUUUCAUUAAAAUAGUAAAAUUGAAGGUCAUAGUAAAAUUGAAGGAAAAGUGUUCUAGCAAACAGAAGCAUGUUUUGUUUGUAGAUGAAAUGGAAUAAGCUAACAAUCGUUCAACUUCUUCUGUGCCGCUUUUAAUUACGAAAAUUGCAAAUUAAGACUGUCCUCACACUAGGUGCAUUGAUAGAAGUCAGUCAAAACUUAAAUCACUCUUUCCUAUGAGAAGUUGCAUUUUUUUCCUCUGAACACGCUCCUUUAGGGGAGCAGUUAGGUCAGGGCUUGAAGGGGUGAUGGAGCACCUGGUGAAGGGCUGUGUCUGGCCCAGGGAGCACAAAUUGUUUGCACCUGUGCUCCCCAGCUGACAAGAAGGGUGAGCUAAGAGUGGAGCCACCCAUGGCUCAUUUAAAGGCCAGCCAGGGAAAGGGGAGCAUCUUUUGGACCUGGGCUGCUUCAUGGGGGAGUACUGUAUUGCCAGAGAGCCCCUUCACCAGCUGGGUCAGUCUGACUCUUCUUUCUGUAUAUGACUAUUGGCCUACCUGUUGAAUACUUUGUCUGGUAUUGUUGAGAAUCCAUAAGAAGCAGUUUUGCUUCCUUAUAUUCAGUCUGAAUCUCCCCUCUUUUAGUUUGAAGCCUUUCCCCUUGCCCUGUCACAACAGACCCUGCUAAAGAGCUUGUCUCCUUCCUUUGCACAGCCUUUCAGAUGCUGCCGGGCUGCUUUCAGGUUACCCCGAAGCCUUCUCCUACCCUCCCUAGGUUGCACUUUCCUUU